Molecule: ribosomal RNA, 505 nt
Filed under: uncultured bacterium
Lineage: Bacteria
Description: partial 16S ribosomal RNA
Rfam family: Bacterial small subunit ribosomal RNA
Source: RNAcentral
GACGAACGCUGGCGGCGUGCCUAAUACAUGCAAGUAGAACGCACAGUUUAUGCCGUAGCUUGCUACACCAUAGACUGUGAGUUGCGAACGGGUGAGUAACGCGUAGGUAACCUGCCUGGUAGCGGGUGAUAACUAUUGGAAACGAUAGCUAAUACCGCAUAAUAUUAAUUAUUGCAUGAUAAUUAAUUGAAAGGUGCAAUUGCACCACUACCAGAUGGACCUGCGUUGUAUUAGCUAGUAGGUGAGGUAACGGCUCACCUAGGCGACGAUACAUAGCCGACCUGAGAGGGUGAUCGGCCACACUGGGACUGAGACACGGCCCAGACUCCUACGGGAGGCAGCAGUAGGGAAUCUUCGGCAAUGGACGAAAGUCUGACCGAGCAACGCCGCGUGAGUGAAGAAGGUUUUCGGAUCGUAAAGCUCUGUUGUAAGAGAAGAACGGGUGUGAGAGUGGAAAGUUCACACUGUGACGGUAUCUGACCAGAAAGGGACGGCUAACUACGUG